UAAUCAUUUGUCUUUUAAUUAAGGUCUGGAAUGAAUGGUUGGAUGAGAAGUUUACUUUCUUUAUUUUAAAGUAAAAAUUUGAUUUUUAAGUUAAAAAGCUUAAAUAUUGUUAUAGGACGAGAAGACCCUAUAGAGCUUUAUUUCCCCAAAAUAAUUAUUUUUUUGGAAAUAAUUAUUUAUUAUUUUUAGGGGAAAUUUUGUUGGGGUGACAGAAAAAAUUUUAUAACUUUUUUAUGGGUUUUCAUUUGUUUAUGAGUUUAUAAUCCUAUAUUAUAGAAUUAAGAUUAAGUUACCUUAGGGAUAACAGCGUUAUUAUUUUGGAGAGUUCUUAUUGAUAAAAUAGUUUGCGACCUCGAUGUUGGAUUAAAAUUGGCUUCAGGAGUAGAAGAUUGAUAGCCGGGUCUGUUCGACCCUUGAAUUUUUACAUGAUCU
This 432-nucleotide ribosomal RNA is filed under the name Coatonocapsus sp. n. 698. RNAcentral's name for it is "partial 16S ribosomal RNA". The stretch from base 85 to 432 matches the Rfam family "Bacterial large subunit ribosomal RNA", at positions 2048 to 2606 of the family's 2925-position model. Lineage: Eukaryota; Metazoa; Arthropoda; Insecta; Hemiptera; Miridae. The record is from RNAcentral.